This is a small nuclear RNA of Myotis daubentonii (Daubenton's bat), 64 nucleotides long. RefSeq annotates it as U7 small nuclear RNA. The record is from RefSeq and is a predicted model, not a curated record. Lineage: Eukaryota; Metazoa; Chordata; Mammalia; Chiroptera; Vespertilionidae.
UAGUGCUUACAGUUCUUUUUGAAUUUUUUCCAGCAGGUCUUCUGGUUUUUACCUGAAGGCCCUC